ACGGGAGGCAGCAGUGGGGAAUAUUGCACAAUGGGCGGAAGCCUGAUGCAGCGACGCCGCGUGAGGGAUGACGGCCUUCGGGUUGUAAACCUCUUUCAGUAGGGAAGAAGCGUAAGUGACGGUACCUGCAGAAGAAGCGCCGGCUAACUACGUGCCAGCAGCCGCGGUAAUACGUAGGGCGCAAGCGUUAUCCGGAAUUAUUGGGCGUAAAGAGCUCGUAGGCGGUUUGUCGCGUCUGCUGUGAAAGACCGGGGCUCAACUCCGGUUCUGCAGUGGGUACGGGCAGACUAGAGUGAUGUAGGGGAGACUGGAAUUCCUGGUGUAGCGGUGAAAUGCGCAGAUAUCAGGAGGAACACCGAUGGCGAAGGCAGGUCUCUGGGCAUUAACUGACGCUGAGGAGCGAAAGCAUGGGGAGCGAACAGGAUUAGAUACCCUGGUAGUCCAUGCCGUAAACGUUGGGCACUAGGUGUGGGGGACAUUCCACGUUUUCCGCGCCGUAGCUAACGCAUUAAGUGCCCCGCCUGGGGAGUACGGCCGCAAGGCUAAAACUCAAAGGAAUUGACGGGGGCCCGCACAAGCGGCGGAGCAUGCGGAUUAAUUCGAUGCAACGCGAAGAACCUUACCAAGGCUUGACAUGAACCGGUAACGCCUGGAAACAGGUGCCCCGCUUGCGGUCGGUUUACAGGUGGU
This 690-nucleotide ribosomal RNA is filed under the name Arthrobacter sp. Its description in RNAcentral is "bacterial SSU rRNA". It matches the Rfam family "Bacterial small subunit ribosomal RNA", at positions 341 to 1042 of the family's 1533-position model. Lineage: Bacteria; Bacillati; Actinomycetota; Actinomycetes; Micrococcales; Micrococcaceae. The record is from RNAcentral.